This 439-nucleotide ribosomal RNA is filed under the name uncultured bacterium. Its description in RNAcentral is "partial 16S ribosomal RNA". It matches the Rfam family "Bacterial small subunit ribosomal RNA", at positions 338 to 795 of the family's 1533-position model. The record is from RNAcentral.
CCUACGGGUGGCUGCAGUGGGGAAUAUUGCACAAUGGGCGAAAGCCUGAUGCAGCAACGCCGCGUGAGCGAUGAAGGCUUUCGGGUCGUAAAGCUCUGUCCUCAAGGAAGAUAAUGACGGUACUUGAGGAGGAAGCCCCGGCUAACUACGUGCCCGCAACCGCGGUAAUACGUAGGGGGCUAGCGUUAUCCGGAAUUACUGGGCGUAAAGUGUGCGUAGGUGGUUUAUAAAGUCGGAGGUGAAAGGCAACGGCUCAACCGUAGUAAGCCUUUGAAACAGGGGAGAUUGAGUGCAGGAGAGGAUAGUGGAAUUCCUAGUGUAGCGGUGAAAUGCGUAGAUAUUAGGAGGAACACCAGUGGCGAAGGCGACUUGCUGGACGGUAACUGACACUGAGGCACGAAAGCGUGGGGAGCAAACAGGAUUAGAUACCCCGGUAGUC